UGCAAGUCGAACGGCAGCGGGGGCUUCGGCCUGCCGGCGAGUGGCGAACGGGUGAGUAAUGCAUCGGAACGUACCCAGUCGUGGGGGAUAACUACGCGAAAGCGUAGCUAAUACCGCAUACGCCCUGAGGGGGAAAGCGGGGGACCUUCGGGCCUCGCGCGAUUGGAGCGGCUGAUGUCGGAUUAGCUAGUUGGUGGGGUAAAGGCCUACCAAGGCGACGAUCCGUAGCUGGUCUGAGAGGAUGAUCAGCCACACUGGGACUGAGACACGGCCCAGACUCCUACGGGAGGCAGCAGUGGGGAAUUUUGGACAAUGGGCGCAAGCCUGAUCCAGCCAUGCCGCGUGAGUGAAGAAGGCCUUCGGGUUGUAAAGCUCUUUCAGACGGAAAGAAAUCGGGCGCGUGAAUAGCGUGCCUGGAUGACGGUACUGUCAGAAGAAGCACCGGCUAACUACGUGCCAGCAGCCGCGGUAAUACGUAGGGUGCGAGCGUUAAUCGGAAUUACUGGGCGUAAAGCGUGCGCAGGCGGUUGUGUAAGACAGGUGUGAAAUCCCCGGGCUUAACCUGGGAAACUGCGCUUGUGACUGCACGGCUAGAGUACGGCAGAGGGGGGUGGAAUUCCAC
RNAcentral lists this ribosomal RNA (622 nucleotides) under uncultured bacterium. RNAcentral's name for it is "bacterial SSU rRNA". It matches the Rfam family "Bacterial small subunit ribosomal RNA", at positions 56 to 672 of the family's 1533-position model. The record is from RNAcentral.